Pelobates cultripes (western spadefoot toad) is the source of this 309-nucleotide non-coding RNA. The record is from the annotation of a GenBank genome assembly. NCBI's taxonomy places the organism in Eukaryota, Metazoa, Chordata, Amphibia, Anura, Pelobatidae.
CCUCUGUCUGCCAACAUCCCUGUUACUUUUGUUGCUUUUUCCCGAAGAACUGUUGCAGGCCAUUUGUUCAUACGAAUGCACGAACACAUGACGGCGGCCAUCUUUUGUUUGUCGAACGCCCAGCAGGACCUGGUCGUCAAACACCUGGCACUCUUUUCGGACACUAUUCUGCACAAACCCCGCUGGGAUUCACCUUGCCCCAUCCAUUCAUGUAUAAAACACUGAAGAGCGUGCCGUUCGACACUUUGAUACUGCGGAAGAUACACCGACUCCUUUCAGGACACUGUGGCCAAAAAUACAUGGCUUGCU